UUGUUCACUUUGGCAGCAUAUCUACUAAAAUUGGAAAAACACACAGAAGUCUAGCAUGGCCACUGUGUAGGACGAUUCAUAAAUCCCAGAAUCAGAUCAUAUAAUU
Small nuclear RNA from Microtus ochrogaster (prairie vole), 106 nucleotides. NCBI's taxonomy places the organism in Eukaryota, Metazoa, Chordata, Mammalia, Rodentia, Cricetidae. The record is from Ensembl.